Molecule: ribosomal RNA, 400 nt
Filed under: uncultured bacterium
Lineage: Bacteria
Description: bacterial SSU rRNA
Rfam family: Bacterial small subunit ribosomal RNA
Source: RNAcentral
UGGGGAAUAUUGCACAAUGGAGGGAACUCUGAUGCAGCAACGCCGCGUGAAGGAUGAAGGUUUUCGGAUUGUAAACUUCUUUGAUUGGGGACGAAGAAUGACGGUACCCAAGGAACAAGCCACGGCUAACUACGUGCCAGCAGCCGCGGUAAUACGUAGGUGGCGAGCGUUGUCCGGAAUUACUGGGUGUAAAGGGCGUGUAGGCGGGACUGUAAGUCAGAUGUGAAAUUCCAAGGCUUAACCUUGGCGCUGCAUCUGAAACUAUGGUUCUUGAGUGCUGGAGAGGAAAGCGGAAUUCCUAGUGUAGCGGUGAAAUGCGUAGAUAUUAGGAGGAACACCAGUGGCGAAGGCGGCUUUCUGGACAGUAACUGACGCUGAGGCGCGAAAGCGUGGGGAGCAA